Molecule: long non-coding RNA, 304 nt
Organism: Sorex fumeus (smoky shrew)
Lineage: Eukaryota; Metazoa; Chordata; Mammalia; Eulipotyphla; Soricidae
Exons: 3
Source: RefSeq, a predicted model, not a curated record
CGUCAAUUCAGAAAAUUCCUAGUGUAUGUUGCCAAUUUUGAUGAGAAAGAUCCUCGGACCUUUGAGGGUAUUGAUCCUGUGAAGACAACGAUGUGGGAUGUGUACAAAAAGUUUGACAUGGGCCAAGACAUCAUAAAUUUUACUGGCCAUGUCCUAGCACUUUAUAGAACUGAUGACUAUUUAGAUCAGCCAUGUUGUGAAACCAUUGUCACUAUUAAACUUUACAGUGAGUCCUUGGCAAGAUAUGGCAAAAGCCCAUAUCUUUAUCUACCCUAUGGCCUUGGAGUACUGGCGCAAGGAUUUG